Long non-coding RNA from Lineus longissimus, 520 nucleotides. RefSeq lists it as uncharacterized. The record is from RefSeq and is a predicted model, not a curated record. The transcript has 3 exons. Lineage: Eukaryota; Metazoa; Nemertea; Pilidiophora; Heteronemertea; Lineidae.
UCGUGUGUCAUCAUGGAAGCGAAACUGCGUGGUUCAAUGCUGUUGUUUGUUUAUUGAAAACCGGCUGUUAGAUUGCUGGAAACUUUAUAAUCAUGUGAAGAUGAUAUGUGAUGCUGAUCGCAUUGCCACAAACCUUGUAGCCAAAUGGCCGGGAAGUGUUCACGACAGUCGAAUAUUCAAGGUGUCGUCCAUUGGCCGAGAACUUGCUAACCAAGCUCCACAUGAUGGAUUCCUUUUGGGCGACAAAGGUUAUGCACUUGAACCGUACCUGAUGACACCUUAUCGGAAUCCAACACCUGAAGAAGCCAGAUACAAUGCCGCCCAAGCACGAACCAGGACACGAGUUGAGCAGGCCUUUGGCAUUUUAAAGAGGCGGUUCCAUUGCUUGCACGAUGAAAUUCGGCUGGUCCCAGAACAGGCCUGUAAAGUGAUAGUCUGCUGUGUAAUCCUCAACAACAUUGCACUGAAGCGGCAGGAUGUGAUGGAGCCACUUUUGGAGAAUCAAUAUAACCUUGAUCCC